CGUGAUUGAUGCCGGGUCCUUCCUUGUGUGGAAAAAAAAAAAAAAAAAAAAAGGAAAAAAAAAGGGAGGAAUAACAAUAAUAAUCACGCUGUGGGCAGCGCUGGGUGAGGAAUCCCCGGCCCAGCAGCCCCACGGAGCAUUGUGCAAAGCACCACAAUUGAGAAUUUUCCCCUUUUUCCCCUGUUUGCUCAGAUAAUGCGUUUUUCGGUAGGUUACUGCCCAAAGUUCCCCGCAAUUUCACACAAAGAGCCGAGCGGAUUCCGGAGCCCACCCCAUCCCACCGCCAUCCUCCUUGGCCAGAAGGGCAGAGCGUUUAACGGGGAGGAGAGCCGGGCCCAGGGAGCGGAGCCGGGACAGCAGCGCCGGGCACGGGGCGAUGCCGAGGGACCCUCGCACCAAAGCCAGGGAACCUCCGGGCUCUGGGAAGGAGCAGAUGGACGGGCUGGGCUGGGGAGCACCUGGGCAGGAGCAGCGCCGUGGUUUGCACAGCUGGGCACAGCUGGGCACAGCUGGCCCCACGGAGCGGAUCCCCAAAACCUCGCGAGAUGGGGUUUAUAAAUCCCCAAAGCCCCGCGGGAUGGGGAUUUUGUACCCCCAAAAUCCCGUGGAUUCGGGUUUUUAGAUCCCCAAAACCCCGCGGGACGAGUUUUUUUGUACCCCCAAAACCCCAUGGGAUGGGAUUUUUUAAAACCCCAAAACCCUUCAGGAUUGGGGAUUUUUGUACCCCCAAUCCCCGCGGGAUGGGAUUUUUUUAAACCCCCAAAACCCUUCGGGUUGGGUUUUUCGUACCCCAAACCCUGCGGGCGGGCACGCCGCGCUGCCCGAGCCCGGCGGAGCGCUCUGAAGCGCCGCUUUCCCGCCCGCCCGCGCGCGGUGAUUAACGGAUUAACAGAUUAACAGAUUACCAGCCGGGCGUUAAUUCCGGCAGCCCGGAGCCGAGGGGAGCGGCCCCGCCGUGCGCACCGGGCUGGAGCCGGGCCCGCGUCCCCCGGGAGCCGCUCGGUGUGAGUGAAUCACGGCGCGCGGACAGCGCCGGCACCGGGGCCGCUCCGGUGACCCUGGGGGAGCCCGGGACCCCCGGGUGGGUGUACAGGGCCCGGCAAGCGCGGAGGGGGCUCCGCACCCCGGGAACCCCGGUACCGGGGAGGCUCCGAACCCACAGAGCCCCGGCGGCUGCGGGGCCGCGCACGGAACA
Molecule: long non-coding RNA, 1195 nt
Filed under: Junco hyemalis (dark-eyed junco)
Lineage: Eukaryota; Metazoa; Chordata; Aves; Passeriformes; Passerellidae
Description: lncRNA (ENSJHYG00000015719.1)
Source: RNAcentral